Molecule: transfer RNA, 77 nt
Filed under: Armatimonadota bacterium
Lineage: Bacteria; Bacillati; Armatimonadota
Description: Armatimonadetes bacterium (hot springs metagenome) tRNA-Ile
Rfam family: tRNA
About the family: Transfer RNA (tRNA) molecules are approximately 80 nucleotides in length.
Source: RNAcentral
GGGCCUCUAGCUCAGUUGGUUAGAGCGCACCCCUGAUAAGGGUGAGGUGGUUGGUUCGAUUCCAACGAGGCCCACCA